GUGGGGAAUAUUGGGCAAUGGGCGAAAGCCUGACCCAGCAACGCCGCGUGAAGGAAGAAGGUCUUCGGAUCGUAAACUUCUAUCCUUGGUGAAGAUAAUGACGGUAGCCGAGAAGGAAGCCCCGGCUAACUACGUGCCAGCAGCCGCGGUAAUACGUAGGGGGCAAGCGUUGUCCGGAAUGAUUGGGCGUAAAGGGCGCGUAGGCGGCCUGGUAAGUCUGGAGUGAAAGUCCUGCUUUUAAGGUGGGAAUUGCUUUGGAUACUGUCGGACUUGAGUGCAGGAGAGGUAAGUGGAAUUCCCGGUGUAGCGGUGAAAUGCGUAGAGAUCGGGAGGAACACCAGUGGCGAAGGCGACUUACUGGACUGUAACUGACGCUGAGGCGCGAAAGUGUGGGGAACAAACAGGAUUAGAUACCCGAGUAGUCC
RNAcentral lists this ribosomal RNA (425 nucleotides) under uncultured bacterium. Its description in RNAcentral is "partial 16S ribosomal RNA". It matches the Rfam family "Bacterial small subunit ribosomal RNA", at positions 354 to 796 of the family's 1533-position model. The record is from RNAcentral.